This 254-nucleotide ribosomal RNA is filed under the name uncultured bacterium. Its description in RNAcentral is "partial 16S ribosomal RNA". It matches the Rfam family "Bacterial small subunit ribosomal RNA", at positions 524 to 776 of the family's 1533-position model. The record is from RNAcentral.
UACGAAGGGGGCUAGCGUUGCUCGGAAUUACUGGGCGUAAAGGGCGCGUAGGCGGUCAGCACAGGUCAGUUGUGAAAUCUCCGGGCUUAACUCGGAAAGGUCAACUGAUACUGUGCGACUAGAGUGCAGAAGGGGCAACUGGAAUUCUCGGUGUAGCGGUGAAAUGCGUAGAUAUCGAGAGGAACACCUGCGGCGAAGGCGGGUUGCUGGGCUGACACUGACGCUGAUGCGCGAAAGCCAGGGGAGCGAACGGG